Molecule: ribosomal RNA, 253 nt
Filed under: uncultured bacterium
Lineage: Bacteria
Description: partial 16S ribosomal RNA
Rfam family: Bacterial small subunit ribosomal RNA
Source: RNAcentral
UACGUAGGGUGCAAGCGUUGUCCGGAAUUAUUGGGCGUAAAGAGCUCGUAGGCGGUCUGUCACGUCGGCUGUGAAAACCUGAGGCUCAACCUCAGGCCUGCAGUCGAUACGAGCAGACUAGAGUGUUGCAGGGGAGACUGGAAUUCCUGGUGUAGCGGUGAAAUGCGCAGAUAUCAGGAGGAACACCGGUGACGAAGGCGGGUCUCUGGGCAACAACUGACGCUGAGGAGCGAAAGCGUGGGGAGCGAACAGG